This 877-nucleotide ribosomal RNA is filed under the name uncultured bacterium. Its description in RNAcentral is "bacterial SSU rRNA". It matches the Rfam family "Bacterial small subunit ribosomal RNA", at positions 8 to 916 of the family's 1533-position model. The record is from RNAcentral.
AGAGUUUGAUCAUGGCUCAGAAUCAACGCUGGCGGCGUGCCUAACACAUGCAAGUCGCACGAGAAAGUGGAGCAAUCCAUGAGUAAAGUGGCGCACGGGUGAGUAACACGUGAAUAAUCUACCUCCGAGUGGGGAAUAACCUAGAGAAAUCUGGGCUAAUACCGCAUAACACUUACGAGUCAAAGCAGCAAUGCGCUUGGAGAGGAGUUCGCGGCCGAUUAGUUAGUUGGCAGGGUAAUGGCCUACCAAGACGAUGAUCGGUAUCCGGCCUGAGAGGGCGCACGGACACACUGGAACUGAAACACGGUCCAGACUCCUACGGGAGGCAGCAGUGGGGAAUUUUGCGCAAUGGGGGAAACCCUGACGCAGCAACGCCGCGUGGAGGAUGAAAUCCCUUGGGAUGUAAACUCCUUUCGAUGGGGAAGAUAAUGACGGUACCCAUAGAAGAAGCCCCGGCUAACUUCGUGCCAGCAGCCGCGGUAAUACGAGGGGGGCAAGCGUUGUUCGGAAUUAUUGGGCGUAAAGGGUGCGUAGGCGGUCUGACAAGUCUGAUGUGAAAUCUAUGGGCUCAACCCAUAGUCUGCAUCGGAAACUGUCGGGCUUGAGUAUGGGAGAGGUGAGUGGAAUUUCCGGUGUAGCGGUGAAAUGCGUAGAUAUCGGAAGGAACACCUGUGGCGAAAGCGGCUCACUGGACCAUUACUGACGCUGAGGCACGAAAGCUAGGGGAGCAAACAGGAUUAGAUACCCUGGUAGUCCUAGCCCUAAACGAUGAUCGCUUGAUGUGGCAGGUACCCAAUCCUGCCGUGUCUAAGCUAACGCGAUAAGCGAUCCGCCUGGGGAGUACGGUCGCAAGGCUGAAACUCAAAGGAAUUGACGG